AUUCAUAUAGCUUAAGAUUUAAAGCAUGAUAUUGAAGAUAUCAGGAUAAGUUAAACUUUUUGAAUA
This 66-nucleotide transfer RNA is filed under the name Metrocoris sp. XD-2019. RNAcentral describes it as "tRNA-Phe". The record is from RNAcentral. Lineage: Eukaryota; Metazoa; Arthropoda; Insecta; Hemiptera; Gerridae.